UACAUGAAAUACUAUCGGUCAUAGACUAAGCCAUGCAAAUCCGAGUACAACUCGUAGAGUGAAACUAUCAAUAGCUCCAUAAUGCAUAUGUGAUGGACUGAAGCACUACGUUCAGUGGGUGAAGGACAGCUGCGGUAAUCCCGGAGCUAAUCCACUUGUGACGUGCAUCUGGCACCUUAGAUGCAUUUUGCCCUUGUUAAAGGCAAGCUCAUCCAGCGUAUGUCCUAUCAGGUAGUUAGUAGUGUAAGGUCCUACUAAGCCAAUGACGGGUAACGGGCGGUAUAUGUCGAACUGCCGGAGAAGGCGCCUUAGAGAUUGCGACUAUGUCUACGGACAGCAGCAGGCGCGCAACUUACACUCUCGAGACACUCGGACGUGGUAAUGACCAGUACUCCCGCCAGCCUUUGCUGUGGAGAUAGAUACUUGACCAGCGAUCUUGUAUCAACCAAGUCGAGGGCCAGUCUGGUGCCAGCAGCUGCGGUAAUACCAGCUCGACUAGUGCUUUGUCUUGAUGCAGUUACACACUCGAAGCCACGGUUGAAUUCGUGAAGGGGCAACCCAUCACUGUGAGUAAACCAAUAUGCUUAGGAUUAUCUCCAACCAGGAUGUUCUUCGCAUGAUGAUGAUUGUAGAAAGUGCAAAGCUUUCUGACAUCAUAGACCAUAUUAGACGUGAUCAAUAUAGCAGGGCGAGCGGUGAAAUGUGUUGACCCUUGUUAGAUUCCCAAUGGCGAAAGCAGGUCACGAUGGUAUCGGUGUCGGUCUAGAGUGGUGCUUAUGAGAGAGAACCGGAUUAGAGACCCGGGUAUCCAUAUAGCGUAAAAGAGAACUCCUCAGGCCUUCCCCCGGGAGGGUCUAAGUGAGAAAUCGUAUGUUUUUGGUUUCCGGGGGAACUACGACUGCAAGGUUGAAACUUAAAGGAAUUGACGGAAGCGCACACAAGGAGUGGAGCCUGUGGCUCAAUUUGAAUCAACACGAGGAAACUCACCUGCACAUGGGGUGUUCUAUGACUGACUUACUUAAGGUGAUGCAGAGAUGGUACUAGUGGUGGUGCAUGGCCGUUGGUGGUGUGUGGGAUGAUUUGCUUGGUUAAUUCUGUCAACAAUCGAGACUCUGGCCCGUUUAGGGGAUUUCCACCAACAAGGUGUGAUGAAAGCAGAGCAAUAACAGGUCCGUGAUGUCCUUUAGAUGCGUGGGGCUGCACGCGUGAUACAAUGCCCCUUCAACAAGCAGCUGAUGUCGAAAGACUAAGCUAUCCCUUUAUGAUGAUGAUGUAGUGGAGAUCGGAGUCUGGAAUGGGCUCCAUGAACGAGGAAUUCCUAGUAAGUACAUUUCAAUACAUUGUGCUGAUUCGUGUCCCUGCGCUUUGUACACACCGCCCGUCGCUCCUACUGAUGGACUCAACGCUGAGUUCCCUGAAGGUUCGCCAAAGGGGUUCAAGGCUGCGAGCCUAGAAGAAGGAGAAGUCGUAACAAGGUAAGA
Molecule: ribosomal RNA, 1481 nt
Filed under: Trichonympha sp. CpuTcB
Lineage: Eukaryota; Parabasalia; Trichonymphida; Trichonymphidae
Description: SSU rRNA
Rfam family: Eukaryotic small subunit ribosomal RNA
Source: RNAcentral